RNAcentral lists this ribosomal RNA (465 nucleotides) under uncultured bacterium. RNAcentral's name for it is "partial 16S ribosomal RNA". It matches the Rfam family "Bacterial small subunit ribosomal RNA", at positions 28 to 507 of the family's 1533-position model. The record is from RNAcentral.
GACGAACGCUGGCGGCGUGCUUAACACAUGCAAGUCGAACGGAAAGGCCCCUUUGGGGGUACUCGAGUGGCGAACGGGUGAGUAACACGUGAGUAACCUGCCCUUGACUUCGGGAUAACUUCAGGAAACUGGGGCUAAUACCGGAUAGGAAUCCUUGCUGCAUGGUGGGGGUUGGAAAGCUUCGGCGGUUUUGGAUGGACUCGCGGCUUAUCAGCUUGUUGGUGGGGUAGUGGCUUACCAAGGCUUUGACGGGUAGCCGGCCUGAGAGGGCGACCGGCCACAUUGGGACUGAGAUACGGCCCAGACUCCUACGGGAGGCAGCAGUGGGGAAUAUUGAACAAUGGGCGGAGGCCGGAUGCAGCAACGCCGCGUGCGGGAUGACGGCCUUCGGGUUGUAAACCGCUUUCAGCAGGGGCGAAGCUUGUGGUGACGGUACCUGCAGAAGAAGCACCGGCUAACUACGUG